Molecule: long non-coding RNA, 885 nt
Filed under: Olea europaea (common olive)
Lineage: Eukaryota; Viridiplantae; Streptophyta; Magnoliopsida; Lamiales; Oleaceae
Description: long non-coding RNA (OEUR_LNC004884)
Source: RNAcentral
UCAAUAAAAAAUGUACCAUUCACCAUGACACACUACAAUACAUAUUACUAUUCGAUAUAUUUAAAUAAUGACAUAAAAACUAAUGAUUGUUUGUAGUCAUUAAAUAUGUCGUUCUUCUACUCUUUCAUACGUGACUCAACAUCAGACGCUGGUUAUAAGUUCUCCUAUUGUAUCCCUUUCCCCCGCUCCUUCUACACAUUGUCGGGUUCAAUGUCUCCAACUUUGUUCGUCCCCUCGUCUUCCUUGGCCUUCCCGCCCGCCUCUUAGAUUCAGGUGGAAAAAAUAUCAUCUUGACAAUGAUCAUUAUUGAAUUUCCACUGUGAAAGGUCUUCAAGUGGAACUAUGCACCCAACGUAAGUAUCAAUAGACACUUUAAUGUGUUAUCUGAAGCAAUAUUUAUAUGGUUACUAUCCUUUCUCGCCGAUUACAGCAAACACGUGUGGACACGAAACUCCAUCAAAUUGAAACCUGUUGCAUGUGUAUUUCAUUACCAGCAAGUCAACAAUAUACCAUGUGUUCUCGUCCGACACUUGUACAGGAAAUCGUUUGAAGAUGAGACCUAUGAAAAAUGCAAUUCAAUUUUUAGCAACAAUACGAUGACAAAGAUAAUGUUUCUCCUUGUGAAAUGUACAAAUAUACUAUUUUUGGUCAUGCCGGAAAAGACUAUCAACCUUUAUUGUUUCAACAUGUUAUUUCAAGCAUUAAAUCAAAUAGUUUAUGAGCAAAGCCUGAGAAGACUAUCAAAUGUCCAAAAACAUCGUUAUUUAUUUCUUAACGAAAAUGUUCAGAAAGAUUAUAUCUUUGCCGAAAAAAGAGUAAACAUACUUGUCACCGGCACGAGAGGAAUUGGAGGUACAAGAAGUAGCAAAUGCAAAAUGAUUUCAU